RNAcentral lists this non-coding RNA (120 nucleotides) under Aspergillus terreus. Its description in RNAcentral is "TPP sequence". It matches the Rfam family "TPP riboswitch aptamer (THI element)". From Rfam's summary of the family: Vitamin B(1) in its active form thiamin pyrophosphate (TPP) is an essential coenzyme that is synthesised by coupling of pyrimidine and thiazole moieties in bacteria. The previously detected thiamin-regulatory element, thi box was extended, resulting in a new, highly conserved RNA secondary structure, the THI element, which is widely distributed in eubacteria and also occurs in some archaea. Analysis of operon structures identified a large number of new candidate thiamin-regulated genes, mostly transporters, in various prokaryotic organisms. Lineage: Eukaryota; Fungi; Ascomycota; Eurotiomycetes; Eurotiales; Aspergillaceae. RNAcentral also lists the same sequence under 1 other name. The record is from RNAcentral.
CUCGCGCAUGACAGGUGUUCGGCCGUCGAUCUGAACCUUCAGAGAGACGGUCGUUCUGAGAUUAUACUGUCAUAACUUGAUCUAGAUAAUACUAGCGAAAGGACAUGCGUGGCAUUGACU